RNAcentral lists this ribosomal RNA (471 nucleotides) under uncultured bacterium. Its description in RNAcentral is "SSU rRNA". It matches the Rfam family "Bacterial small subunit ribosomal RNA", at positions 26 to 518 of the family's 1533-position model. The record is from RNAcentral.
AGGAUGAACGCUGGCGGCGUGCCUAACACAUGCAAGUCGAACGUCCUGUCUCGCAAGAGGCAGGGAGUGGCGGACGGGUGAGUACCACGUGGGUUAUCUACCGUGAGGUGAGGAAUACCGGCGAGAAAUCGCCGACAAGACCGCAUAGCCUCGGUGCAAGCCGAGGAAAGCUUUCUCGAGAGAGGGAGCGCCACACGAGGAGCCUGCGCCCGAUUAGCUAGCUGGUGGAGUAACGGUUCACCAGGGCGACGAUCGGUAGCUGGUCUGAGAGGACGAUCAGCCACACUGGGAUUGAGAACGGCCCAGACUCCUACGGGGGGCAGCAGUGAGGAAUUUUCGUCAAUGGGGCAACCCUGAACGAGCAACGCCGCGUGCAGGAGAAGGUUUUCGGAUCGUAAACUGCUUUUCUCGGGGAAGAGAACGGACGGUACCCGAGGAAUCAGCCCCGGCUAACUACGUGCCAGCAGCCGC